UUGUUGUGACGAGACAAAGAACCAAGGACCACACACUCGCGUGACAUCUAUGGUGCCGUGACUCGGAUAUAACCUGGCUGAAACAACCUCUGCGUGGAAGAGGCCAAGCACAACAGGAGCCCAAUUCUGCGAAGCUCCAGCGCUAGAAGCGAAAGGCGAAGAAACACAGCACAGGGGAAGGCCCAUCGUGCUGGAAACCCGGACAACGAAAAACGAACUCAGCAGAAAGCUCACGCAGCCCAGUCUCAGAUUCCAGAAGACAUCCGGUUAAGAUGGGAAAUAACCAAUCCACUUCCCGGCAGACGCCCUUGAAAUGUAUCCUUGAUAACUGGAAGCUGUUCGACCCUCUAGCUCUAAGGAGAAGUCGUUUGAAAUUCUUUUGUGCCACUGCAUGGCCACAGUAUCCACUGGGGGACGAGGAACACUGGCCUGAGGAUGGAACUUUAAAUUACAAUACCAUCCUGCAAUUAGAAUUAUUCUGCAAAA
Bubalus bubalis (water buffalo) is the source of this 486-nucleotide long non-coding RNA. RefSeq lists it as uncharacterized. Lineage: Eukaryota; Metazoa; Chordata; Mammalia; Artiodactyla; Bovidae. The record is from RefSeq and is a predicted model, not a curated record. The transcript is spliced from 2 exons.